UAGUUAUGGUGAGGACGCAUACUCGACAAAUCCUUAAAUCUUUCCCAAGAUUGAUACAAAGUCUCACUGUCUUUUUGUGCAAAUGUGAAAAUUUACAUUUUUAAAGUG
Carya illinoinensis is the source of this 108-nucleotide small nucleolar RNA. NCBI's taxonomy places the organism in Eukaryota, Viridiplantae, Streptophyta, Magnoliopsida, Fagales, Juglandaceae. The record is from RefSeq and is a predicted model, not a curated record.